Molecule: ribosomal RNA, 119 nt
Filed under: Pteropus alecto (black flying fox)
Lineage: Eukaryota; Metazoa; Chordata; Mammalia; Chiroptera; Pteropodidae
Source: RNAcentral
GUCUACGGCCAUGCUACCCUGAACAAACCCAAUCCCGUCCAAUCUCAGAAGCUAAGCAGAGUCGGGCCUGGUUAGUACUUGGAUGAGAGACUACCUAGGAAGACCAGGUGCUGUAGGCA